GACGAACGCUGGCGGCGUGCUUAACACAUGCAAGUCGAACGGACAGGCCCGGCGCUUGCGGGGUGCUCGAUUGGCGAACGGGUGAGUAAAACGUGUGUAACCUGCACCUGUCUUACGGAGAAAAUUAGGGAACAGGGGAUAAAAUCGGAUAGGAGCUCCUGCUCCACGGUGGGCGUUGGAAAGUUUCGGUCGUUGGGGAUGGACUCGCGGCUUAUCAGCUUGUUGGUCGGGUAGUGGCUUACAAAGGGUUCGACGGGUAGCCGGCCUUGGAGGUGUACCGGCGACAUGGGUACUGAGAGACGGCGCAGUCUCCAACGGGAGGCAGCGGUGGGGAGUAUGGCGGAGCGGGCGGAAGCCUGAGGCAGCAGCGCCGCGUGCGGAAUGACGGCUUUCGGGUGGUAAACCGCUGUGGCCGGUGAUGAGGCGUGAGUGACGGUAAUGGGUAAAGAAGCACCGGCUAACUACGUG
Molecule: ribosomal RNA, 468 nt
Filed under: uncultured bacterium
Lineage: Bacteria
Description: partial 16S ribosomal RNA
Rfam family: Bacterial small subunit ribosomal RNA
Source: RNAcentral